CUCUCAAUAGCUCAGUUGGUAGAGCAUGAGGCUUAAUCUCGGGGCUGCGAGUUCGAAUCCCACUUGGGGUA
Non-coding RNA from Podarcis lilfordi (Lilford's wall lizard), 71 nucleotides. The record is from the annotation of a GenBank genome assembly. NCBI's taxonomy places the organism in Eukaryota, Metazoa, Chordata, Lepidosauria, Squamata, Lacertidae.